Molecule: RNA transcript, 7473 nt
Organism: Trichoplusia ni (cabbage looper)
Lineage: Eukaryota; Metazoa; Arthropoda; Insecta; Lepidoptera; Noctuidae
Gene name: protein I'm not dead yet-like
Exons: 2
Source: RefSeq, a predicted model, not a curated record
AUAAUGUUUCGUUUCCAUAAAAGAAAAAAAACAAAACGUAAUUUAAUCAGACCAAUUUAGUUUCUUUUUUUAUCGUUGUUCUGCUAUCCUGCGGCAGCAGUAUCGAAACGCCAAUCUGUUGGUUGUUCAUGUACGCACCAAACCAAUCAAAUUCGACGGCAUGACUCGCGCGAAGUUCGUUAGAGUCGCCAACGCCUCCUAGCGUCAGUUUUCAAAAAAGGAAGCGCGCGCGCGGCACGGUACGAUAUCGCGGCUCAACUAAAACCGAAAACCGAUUACACCUCCUAUUAAAACCGUGUGAAAUCAGCAGCCAGUAGCCUUCAUCAUCUCAGGAUCACCAACGGAGUGGAAGCUCAACGACUAGUGCAGGUCGCAGCCCAGGAUUCACGAGGUACGUGCGUGCAUUGUAUCUUUACUGUAGCCUGUCUAGGAUCUCGCAGAACAACAAAUAAUUAACGUAUUUUUUAUCGUAAGACCACCCUCUGGUCUCCCCAGAGUGGCAUCCGCAUCACAAUUUCAUUUCGGCUGGUGCGAGUUGCUACAUCUUUUUGGUGCCGAAACCCGGGAGCUUCCAUUUAAUUCUUAUCGAAUCGCCAUAUUGGUUUUCUGGUUAAAGGUAACUUAAAAUAAUCUCAAUCGAUCUAUUGUUUUAACCAUAUCGCAUUUUAAGUUGUCCCAUCGGAACUAUCAAACCAUUCCAUAAUUUCGUAAUUAUUCAUAACUAAACACGUCACGUAAACGAGCUAAGUAGGUACUUAUCCUAAAUUCGCCAUCGAACAAAAAACUAUAACAAUAAAACUUCCGAUUAGCUUGUGAGGGUACCUAUGCCGAUCUAACUACAAAUACCGUCCUGCAUGGGUAUUCUCGCUUGUUACUUAACAAUUAUUGUGGUGAAGUCAAAUUGUGCAAUCACUUUUAUCAAUUUAUCGGUGCACACUUUAACAACCCGCAAUAAGUAACUCAUCGGCUCAUUAAAAUGCAAGUGACCUACCAAAACAAAUAACGUAAUACUAAGUGGAUUAUCCGUUUUUUAUUAAAGUGGUUUUCGUAGUAACAUUUUGUUCAUUAAAUACUUUCAUUCGUAAAAAACGUACGUCGUUUAAACGUACCUACGAGUAUUAUUAUUCACUGUAGGUAGGUAGAUUGAAAUAUCGUAAACCGUUCUAUCAAAAUAACGUAUCAGUUACCUAGGUACCUACAAAUAAAACUUCUCGACGAGUCGGUGAUUAAAUUUACCGUUUAUUUUCACGAAUUGAACACAGAGGUAAUCAGCUGUUGCAGUACAUUGUGUCUAUAGUUCUAGACAGUCAUCAAUCGACCCUGUCAUAUUAUCUGUGUAUGCUUAUAAUAUAAUAUCCGAGUAGCUAGAUUUGCUAGUUGGUAACAAUAGGGAUACCUACACCGUACACGCGUCUUGUAACGUACCUAUUAUACGCGCCGAAGUUCGGGGCGCGUUUGGGUAGGAUACACUGUCUUAGCGACCACUACCUACUUAUUGCGGAUGAUACUUGCACAUAAGUAGGUACAUUUAUUUAGUGCUUAAUUAUAAUCCGUAAGCUUAACUCUGUAUCGAAAUUCUUCGCACAUUACAAGAAAUAAUAUCUCAUAGCUUUGUUUUGUACCUGCUUAAUAAACUUUUUUUAAAUGCCGCUUCUCGGAAAACCUACCCGCAGGGGUACAUUAAAGAAAUCAAAAUGUAAUGAAGUAGAAUAUUCGACUCAAGAUUUACCGUCUUUGCGUAGGAAACGAACCAUUUCUUAUAACCGUUUAAAUAAAGCGCUGGAGAUAGGUAUUUUAGCCGAAAACGAUUCUUCUCAACUAAAUUUGUUUUUGUCAUAUUUUCAAGACAUUAAGCAACAUGCCGCUAGUUUUGAGGAUGCGCAUUUUACGAUCCAGGAGAUUCUCGAUGACCCUGAAAAUGAGGACAAUGACCUUCAAGAAAGGUUUGAUGCAAUGUAUUACAGAUUGUUGUCAAUCCAUCGAACGUUAUCUAAAACUGAAUCAACUCGGUCUUGCGACACUGUUUCGUCGAAUAUUCGAUUACCGAAAAUCGUGCUUCCUAACUUUAGCGGCGACAUUAAAAAAUGGCCUGAGUAUUAUGAUACGUUUAACACCUUAAUACAUAACUCAACAUCGUUAACCGACACUGAGAAGCUUCAUUAUCUCGUAUCGUCUCUGAGCGGCGAUGCGCUGCUUGUUAUCAAGCCUUUCCCUCUGACACACGAACACUACCGCGACGCAUACGAAGCACUCACCGCGCGCUAUAAGAAUAAGCGGGAUCUUGCGUUUACGUGUUGGCGGGAUAUUUUGAAAAUUGAAUUUAAGGUUUCUGACGCGCACGCAUUUCGAAGGUCACUCGAUUUAUUCGAUGAAAACUUAAGCAUUUUAAGGACUAUUAAUUUGCCGGUUAACCAUUGGGAUUUCAUUUUAGUGUAUCAUAUCUUAUCGAAGGUCGACCAGAGGCUUCGUCGGGAUUUUGAGGAAAAACAUUCCGAUGUAGAACUUCCUACUUAUAACCAAUUGCGAAAUUUCCUGCAAUCCAAGUGUGAGGCUUUAUUGCGAGACACACAUUUCGUUGAAUCGGACAAACCUCAACCGAGGUCUAAAUCUGCUCACCCGCAGCCCCAACCGCGCAGUUCUGCGUCACACACACUCGUUGCCGCUAAGUCCGCUACUACACAACAACUGAAUGAAGGGGUACCAACGAAUGUCCCAUACACAAAAAAAUGCACGUUUUGUUCAGAUUUCCAUUCCAUUGCCGCAUGUCCCGAGUUUCUUAAAAAAUCGUUUGAUGAACGUUUGCAGAUCGCUACUGAGAAACACUGGUGCUUUAACUGUUUGAAUCCAUCUCAUCAGUUAAAAGAUUGUAAAUCUAUAUUUUCGUGUCGCAUAUGCAAGAGAAACCACCACACCUCACUCCAUCGCGAUAAGUCUAGUGAGUCAAAUCAGUCUUCAUCGACAUUAGUGUCAAGGUCGUUAACACACACCACUGUUCUACUGGCCACAGCAAUGAUUCAGGUCCGUGAUGCCUUUGGCUCAAUGCAAUCGUUCCGAGCUCUUUUUGAUACUGGAAGUCAAAGCAAUUUUAUCACGGAAAAGGCAGUGAAACGUCUAAGCUUACCACUUAGUCCAACUAACGACAACGUCAGCGGUAUCGGAGAUGCUUCAGCGCCGAUUCUUGGUGACAUCACGUGUUUGAUAGGCACAAAGGAUAAAAUCUUAUUUAAAUUGAACUUGCACGUCAUAUCAACAAUAUGUGGCGAUCAACCGAUAGCAAAACUUAAUACAUCUGGGUGGACCCACAUUGAAUCGAAACCCUUAGCAGAUCCUGGUUUUGAUCUCCCGGGACCUAUCGACAUAUUGCUCGGCGCGGAGGUGUUUGCUGACUCGCUUCUAAAUCAACAUAUCAAAGGCAAUGCAAAUCAACCGAUAGCUCUUAACUCUGUUUUCGGUUGGCUUCUUUUGGGCAAAACUCGUCUAGCUUCAAACACCUUAGUGCACGCAUCGGGAAAAAACGACAUCGACUUGAAUUCGUUAGUUCAACGUUUCUGGGAGUUAGACUGCGUACCCAAGGCGUCUCUUCUUACUCCAGAGGAGGUGUUUUGCGAACAAAAGUUUUUAUCCGACCAUUGCCGCGAUACGUUUGGACGAUACACAGUACGCUUACCAUUCAAAGAUGAUAGCGAACCGAAGUUUGAAGGUUCUCGUGACGUUGCACUUAGACGAUUUCAUGCAAUAGAACGUAGGCUGUCUCGUGACCCUGACUUACAAAAGGAAUACGCGAAUUUUAUGACAGAUUACUUGGACGCCGGUCAUAUGUCUUUGGUUCCCGGAAAUGAACUCAGUCAGGGGAAAUAUUAUAUUCCACAUCAUUGCGUUUUGCGUCCUGACUCUGCUACCACCCGUCUCCGCGUUGUCUUUGACGCGUCGGCCAAGGAUGCCCACUCUCGGUCUUUAAACGACACUCAACUAAUCGGUCCCAAGUUACAACCGAACAUUCUAGAAAUUCUAUUGCGAUUUAGGGUACAUAAUAUUGUUUUUAUGGCUGACGUUCGACAAAUGUACCGUCAAAUUCUUAUUUCCCAAGCCGAUCGUGACUACCAGCGCAUUUUUUGGAGAACCACUCCUACAGAAUGUCUUCAAGAAUACCGUUUGAAUACUGUAACAUAUGGCGUUUCAUCUUCACCCUUUCUUGCGUGUCGUACUCUGCGACAGCUUGCCGAGGACGAGGGCAAUCAGUAUCCCAUAGCAAAGGGAAUCAUUCUGUCUGACGUAUAUAUCGACGACGUGGCCAGUGGUUCCGACACGCUAGAACAUGCCCAACAGGCAAAGGACCAACUAAUCGCCUUGUUCAAAUUAGGUGGCUUCCAUCUUAGGAAGUGGGUGUCUAACAAUGCGCAACUUCUGCUUGACCUCCCUAUUCAAGAUCGUCUCACUGGUUCUGUCUCUCUCGAUAACUAUGAAACUCAAAUUUUAAAAAUUCUCGGCCUAAAAUGGGAUCCUCACACAGAUGCAUUUCUUUUCGAAAUCCAACCUCUCGACCGGCCUUGUACCAAACGAUCGAUUCUCAGCGAACUAGCUAGAGUGUUCGACCCUCUAGGAUUUUUGUCUCCCAUUACAAUUCAAAUCAAAACCUAUAUCCAGAAACUUUGGAUCCUUGGUAUCGGAUGGGAUCAAACACCGCCUGAUGAGGUCAUUGGUAUGUGGAAUACUUACAAGGUUCAAUUAUCACAGUUAUCUCAAGUUCGAAUUCCUCGCAGGUUAAUUUGUUCUGAUGUCAAAUCGUUCGAGCUUCACGGGUUUUGUGACAGUUCCGAGGUAGCGUAUGGUGCGGUAAUAUAUUUUCGGGUUACUAACGGCAGCGGCAAGGUCACAACGUAUCUGGUCUGUUCUAAGGCUCGUGUAACACCUCUUAAACGAAUUUCAUUGCCUCGUCUGGAGCUCUGCGCCGCAGUUCUUCUAUCAGAACUUUAUAAAUUUGUUCGUGACACUUACCUUGAUCGCAUUACGAUUAACGAUGUCUAUCUGUGGUCAGACUCGACGGUAGUUCUUUCAUGGUUGCGAGCCCAUUCUUCCCGCUGGGUAACAUUCGUCGCCAACAGAGUCAGUCAAAUCCAAGAUCUUACUGCAACUGCUUGCUGGCGCCAUGUACCUUCAGGAGAUAACCCUGCGGACGUUUGCUCUCGUGGUCAAUUACCCAGUGAGAUCGUAAACAACUCCUUAUGGUGGACGGGCCCUGAUUGGCUACGUAGGGAUCACUGUUGCUGGCCUUCUAUCCCUGAUACUGCCUCUCACGAGGAUGAAGUACUCGUUAAAUCCGAAGAACGCAAGUGUGUAGUCUUAUUAACCGAUCAACUUGAUAAAACCUUACCUGACGGAUCCAUCAUCGAGAUGUUAUUGAAUCGUUUCUCUUCAUUGUCUAAGUUGGUAAAUGUUCUCACGUACGUAUAUCGCUUUAUCGAUAAUACUCGACAUCCCAAUCAGGUGAAUCGAAAACGAUUUCUUAAUAACGUUGAACGUCAUCACACUCUUAUAAAAAUAGUCAAACAUGUACAACACACCACUUUUCUCGAAGAAAUCUUUCAUCUGCAAUCAAAAAAACCCUUAUCAAAACCUUUUCGCAAGUUAAAUCCGUUCCUUGAUGAUCAGGGAGUACUCAGGGUGGGCGGUAGGAUUUCGCGAUCAGGUCUCGAAUAUGAGCAAAAGCACCCCGCCUUCUUACCUUCUAACCAUCCUUUUACUUACUUGGUCAUCGACUUUAUUCAUCGCAGUUAUUUACACCCAGGUAUUAACACUACACAUUUUCUACUACUUCAACAAUUCUGGAUCAUAGCUGCAAAACGCGUUAUUCGUCGCCACUUGUCCAAGUGUAUUCAAUGUUUUCGAACAAAUCCUCAGCCAUUACAACCUUUUAUGAGCGAUCUUCCCUCUUAUCGCGUCAAUCAAGUUAAACCAUUUUCCGUGGUCGGUGUCGAUCUAGGCGGGCCGUUCCGUAUUAAACUCGGUUCACAUAGAGGCGCGAAAAUGGAUAAGGCGUAUUUGUGCUUGUUUGUUUGCCUGGCGACCAAGGCGGUGCAUUUAGAAGUCGUAUCGACGUUAACAACUGAAGGGUUUAUUGCUGCUUUGCGCCGAUUUGUAGGAAGACGCGGUCGGUGCAACGUAAUUCACGCGGAUUGUGGCACUAAUUUUGUUGGUGCAAAAAACCAGCUCUCAAUUUUAAUGGAACAGGCAACGAAUACAGAAAAAAUCGAAUUUAAGUUCAACCCUCCCGGCGCACCGCACUUUGGCGGCGUCUGGGAGAUUCAGAUUAAAGCCGCAAAAUCUCAUUUGCUUCGGGUUGUGGGUGAUCAGGUUUUGACUUUUGAGGAACUAACCACUCUUUUUGUUCAAAUAGAAGCCAUCUUAAACUCAAGGCCACUUUGCCCUAUUAGUUCCGAUCCAAACGACCUGACGUGUCUCACUCCGGGUCAUUUUCUUACUUUAGAACCUUUGACAGCCGUUCCCGAUGAAGAUCUUUCUAACGUAAACCUAAAUCGGCUUCACCGAUGGCAGCUGCUCCAAUCUUUUCAACAGAGUUUUUGGUCCAGAUGGAAAUCAGAAUACUUAAAUUCUUUAACGCAACGAGCCAAAUGGACGAAACACUCUAAACCGUUACAGAUAGGUUCUAUGGUAAUCAUUAAGGACGAUAAUCGUGCACCAUUGCAUUGGACACUUGCACGAGUUGUAAACCUCCAGGUGGGUGCUGAUGGGAUAGCUCGGAGUGCAUUGGUUCAAAAUGCUGACAAACAAAUUAUAAAUCGACCUUUAGUUAAACUGUGUCCCUUGCCUAUAGAGGACUCUGCUUAGCUGUUCUAAUCAUAUUAACCGAACUUUCAACCCUUAUCCAAAAUUUUAUUUAAUUGUUUAUUUAAUUCUCUUUAGUUUUAGUAUUCAACCUUUCGUCAACUAAUUUUUUGUCUUUUAACCAGAAAAUACCAUAGGCAUUUUGGUGGGCGGGAUGUUUCGUUUCCAUAAAAGAAAAAAAACAAAACGUAAUUUAAUCAGACCAAUUUAGUUUCUUUUUUUAUCGUUGUUCUGCUAUCCUGCGGCAGCAGUAUCGAAACGCCAAUCUGUUGGUUGUUCAUGUACGCACCAAACCAAUCAAAUUCGACGGCAUGACUCGCGCGAAGUUCGUUAGAGUCGCCAACGCCUCCUAGCGUCAGUUUUCAAAAAAGGAAGCGCGCGCGCGGCACGGUACGAUAUCGCGGCUCAACUAAAACCGAAAACCGAUUACACCUCCUAUUAAAACCGUGUGAAAUCAGCAGCCAGUAGCCUUCAUCAUCUCAGGAUCACCAACGGAGUGGAAGCUCAACGACUAGUGCAGGUCGCAGCCCAGGAUUCACGAGAAAACCGCCAGAAGACCCUUAUCUAACCAGUUCGGAGAAAGCAAAACUAUUUUUCGUUGGACAUUGGCGGGGUGUGAUAGCUCUUUUC